AAGACAAAACACUCACGUGCCGUUUUUCGUAUUUUGAAUUAUUUGGUGAAAUGUGGUCCUAUGUGCGUGUUUAGGAGACACAAAUUUAGUUCUUUUAGUUGUUUUACGAUGUAAAUAGCUUCUGUUGAAAGAAAAUUACAAUUACGGAUUCCGUGCGUCGAUGCUGUAUAUACAAUAUUUCUAGAUCUCGUAUAUUAAAAAAAAAACAAUUGCAAAUAUAACACGAGUAUAGUUACCUGACAAAAUUGAUUUUGCAUUUAUUCUACUUUUCAUUUUAUUAGCGCUACGAUUUAUAUAAGUUUUACUUGAAGCAAGUUGAAGGUUCAAUGUAUAGGUUAAGUCGCAGUGACAUAUUAAUAGAGUAGAAAAAUGAUGAAAAUGUUGUCACUUCACGACUUCGAUGGUCCUGCUUUUGGUGAUGUAGCUGCUGUUGGUUUGCUGAGUCAUACCAUGCAUUAUUGCAACUACAACAAAUUACAGGAUGAGAACCAACCCUUCUACAAGUAUCUGCGCAAUUAUCCUGAAGUGUCUCUUAUGCAAGAUAUCUCAGCCACGCGUGACUCAAUGCGCACAGUCAGUGCCAAUGAACUCUUCUUACCUGUUCAUGACAGUGCUUCUAAGAAGAUUGCCAGUAUAUGGAGAGAGAAAGGUCUAUCUGAAGCUAUUCGCUUUGCUGCUGCUGCUGAUCCACAGGAGAUCACAACUGUUAUACAUUGGAUAGCAACAAAGCUCAAGAAAGUUCUAGACUUGAUGGAUAGAGGAAUAUAUCACAGAGAUCUUUUACCAAUCUCAGGAGAUGGAUCUGUUGCUGACAUUGUUGCUACACGAGAUUGGAACACCUCACUGGUGAGGUGUAUGUCUUGGCAUCCAUAUUGCUAUCGUCUAGCUGUGGCCACAAGAGAUGAUCGAAUCCGUAUUUUCUCACCAGUGUCGACUAAUGCUAACUGGACAUCAUUGAUACUGCCUAUACCAAUACUGAGACAUAGUGAGCAGAAAUCGGUUUGCUGUUUAAGUUGGAGACCAAAUAGUGGUCGUGAAUUAGCAGUUGCCUGCUAUUACGGAGUAUUAGUUUGGACAAUAGAAUUGGGUGCAGCCAGUAAUUUACUCAGUCAUGCAGUACUUCUUAAACAAAGGAAUCAUGCACCUGUUACGAGUGCCACAUGGCAUCCACAAGGCGAUCUAUUAGCAUCUUGCUCACCAACGGACUUAAAUAUAAUAAUUUGGGAUGUCUCUAAGGAGGAGGGAGUACCUUUGAGACGUGUUGGCGGAGGUGGCAUAUGUUUCACGCGUUGGUCAUCUUGUGGCUCACGAUUGUUCUCUGCUUCAUGUGGGAACGUUUUCAGAGUUUGGAAUACUGGUAUCUCAAAACCAUGGUACGCGGAUAAGUGGACUGUGCCCAAUGGUCGUGUAGCUGUCGCAUGCUUUGGUCCCAACUUAACAUUACUUUUUGCUACUACGGAAGACCCUGCUACAGUAUUCUCAUUGCCAUUGCAGGAUAACAUAUUUGAGGAUAAAAAGGCAAACAACAAUGACGUAAAGAUAGCUACGCGUUUGAUCGAUUUAACGAAAGUAAAUUUCUCGUCGGACGAUAAUGAUGAUUAUAUCACAGUGGGAGGUAGGAUAGUUUCCAUGGAAUGGAAUUCGAUAGGGCAAUAUCUUGCUAUAAUUUUCCAGGAUAGCCCAGUGAUCGCUCUGUUUAAAACGAGUAUAAAUAAAAUAUCGCGGAUAGUGGAGGUUCAGCCAAGUUGCCUUAUCAAAGGAUUCCCUGUAGAAGUGCCAAAUUGCAUAAAUUUUCAUCAAAAAGAUUCUCCGUGCAUUUGCCUAACAAUAGCUUGGAGCAGCGGACGUAUACAGCAUUUCCCGAUUGUCGAAGAUCACGACAAACUUUAUUCCGUUACGUCAAUUUACAGCAACAAACGAAUUGUAUAACUUGGACGUCGAAGGUUGCAGACUACACGAUACAUAUUAGGUUGGUGUUUUCACAACAAAAUGAUAGUAUGAAGGAAUGACAGGAACGAGAACGAACACUUACUUGCGAGAAAACUGUUAUUAAUAUAGGCUAUCAUAGCCAAGCUAUUAUCUCGCUGUUAAAAUAAUCAUAGAUAUAUGCGCGGGCAGAGCUUACAUAAUUCUCGUUUUGGGAAGAGUUUAUAUCCGUAACUGCGCCUACGGGAGAAAGAGGGGGAAAAAAAACGAAUGGGUGGUCCGUCGUUAGACACUCUAAUGGACUAUGUUUGUAACGUAUGGAACAUAGAGCGCAACACGGGCUCUUCUCGAGUUCGGUACCUAAUUAUACGAAGUCACAUGCAGAGCGCGCGUCUUUCUAUUUUUACGUCGCUUGACCGAAUGCUAAACGCUCGCCGACAUGUAUCUCCGUACGUACGCGACGCGACGGUCCACGCUAUUUUCAAUACGCCCUAUGUGACGCCCGUUUUACCAUACGAUGGCUCUGUGUAUGUGUACGAUUACAUACAGUCAAGUGUGUGUGUACAGAUAAUCGUGAGGUAUACUCACACACUAAGUUGAAUCUAUUGUAUAGUAAAGAUUAUCUACACAAAGAUUCUCUUUUUCUUUCUUCGUUUUCUUUUUUUGUGCAAAAACUGACCUCUCAUACGUGUGAAUACGCAUUACAAAGUUGCGCACACACUUAUUUGAAAUUAUGUAUCUAAAAGUAUAAAUUUGUAAUAUAUGUUUAUUAUACUUAUAUAUGCAUAUAUUCUUUCACUUUAUAGUGGGUUUUUUUUUUUAAUUAAGUGUACACAUUUAUAUUGGACGUUCGGGCAAGUUUAUUAAUUCGUAUCGUGGAGAACGCUCGCGGUUAUAAUCGCCGCUCAAGAUUACAUGAAGGCGGGAAGAAGCGUUUCUGACCUUUUUUUUCUUUUUUUUCUGUACGGGGCGAUUAAACGUUUAAAAUGGGUUUUUUAUUCAUUUUGCUGUUAUUGCAUCCGUAUGGGGGGAGAACAUGAUCAGUGUCCUUUUUACGGUAUAUUUAUUUUAAGGGCGGUCGGGUCGUACGCACAUGCGGCGACUAUAGUACGAGCGAAGCUGACAGGUGCCUGGGUAAAAAAGCAGGACCGUGAGCGGGCGUAGUAUGUAUAAUGUAAGCAUCGAGGGCUGGCAGACCACAUGUGCCGUUCUAUCACUUAUCUUACUCGUAAUAUGACGUACUGCUCCCGGCCGUAAGAUGCACCCAGGACGCGUAUGCAUGUACUUUAUGUAUGGGCGCGCGAGCGGGUGGAUUUUCCGCGUAAAGAGAAAUGCAAGAAUGAACAGAGCGAGCCGCGCUCGCGCGCGAGAAUCACAAAAACGCACAACAGCAACAUGACAAACACGUUCUGCCUCAUGUUUCUAGCUCCACGAUGUAUAUAUGCUUGCAUCUUAUGUUUACGCACGAGUAGAUAAAAUAUUUUUGUUCACCUAUAUCGGCCAGAUUUCACAUUGUACGCUUUAUCAUAUCGCAGCGAUACCGAAAUAGAGUGACAGAUGCAUUGAAUGUUUGCGUGAGUUUCCUUGCCAAUAUCAUAUUACUGUGACGUUAUGUAAAUUAGAGUAACAACCGUAGCAUUAAGGGGAGAUUCUGAUUCAGAUAGUCGAAAAAAAUAAAAAGUUUUUACGAAUCUUUUUUUUUUUCAAAGAAACGAAUAACGAUAUCGAUAAUAAAGUUUCGACUAUAAUAUUUAUCAUUGUUAAUCUAUUUUAUCAUUUUAUAAAGCAUACUUAUACUAUUUUAUCAUUGUUUUAAGUAUAGAAAAUAUAAUUUAAAAAGUUGGAAUUCCAUCGAAAUUUUUUGUAUGUCGCUAGACGCUUCUAAUUGGUGGACAACGUUACAGCAUAUGCAAUACUUUGAAACAAAUGGGACAAAAAAUUUAAAAACUAUAUUAAAUUUAAGAAGAGUGAAUCUAAAUAUUUUGGAAAAUUUCGGAAAUUAAUAUUUUUAAAAUAAAAAAGAGGGGAAAAGAAAAAUGACUUAUAACUUCAAAGUGUCGCCAUUUUGUUAAAUUUCGAUCUUUUUUAUAUAACAAAGGUUCAUCUUUCAGAAAAUUUAAUACAGUUUUUAAAUUUUCUUAUCAGGUUAUUACACAAGCUGCAAUGCUGCUCGUUAGAGGCGUCUGGCGACAUUUCAUUUAGUACAAUUUAUUUUCAUUUAGUACAUUUCAUUUAGUAAAACCUGGAUAAAAUUUUUUAAAUAAAAUAAUCUUUUUAUAUUUAGAAUAAUGAUAAAUAGUGUGAUCAAAAUCCUAUAUUGUUAUUUUUACUCAUUUCUUUGAAAAAAAAUCAUACAAAAUCUAUUUUUUCGGUUAUCUAAACCAGACCCAUUCUUUAAGAGGAUGCUGGAUAUUGACAAUGCAUUUUUAUAUUUUGCACUAUUUUUCUAUUUGAUCGUAUAGCAAAUGCUUAUGCAGAGUGAAAAUAUAAAUGCUAAUAAAUGGACGAAGUACAUAAAUGGAGAAUGUAUAUAAAAGAUUAAAAAAAUUUUAUUUACAAGUUUUCUUUUUGUUUUUGAUGUAAUACUCCGUCAUUUGAAUUUAUACUUUCACAAUAAUGGGAAUAUAAUUGUGUGACUCAUAUUGAUAUUUUUUGAGAUUGCGAGAGCGUCUUCCUGUCAUUAAUCUGUUGACAAAGAAAAAAAUUGAUUCAACGUUAAUAAUUGGAUGUUGUGACCUUAAAUCAAAUGACCUUAAAUUUGAACUGAAACUAAGAUGCAUCGCAAUUACUAUUUAUUUGCGCUUUAUAAUUAGUACACAGAGAAAAUAUUGUAAAAAUUAUGUCAAGUUUAUAUUUCUUUUUAUAAUGCUUUUUGUAAAGAUAAACUGUAUUAAAAUUGUAAUAUUAA
Molecule: RNA transcript, 4834 nt
Organism: Odontomachus brunneus
Lineage: Eukaryota; Metazoa; Arthropoda; Insecta; Hymenoptera; Formicidae
Gene name: aladin
Exons: 8
Source: RefSeq, a predicted model, not a curated record